GGGUGAGGAAUACAUCGGAAUCUACUCUGUCGUGGGGGAUAACGUAGGGAAACUUACGCUAAUACCGCAUACGACCUACGGGUGAAAGCAGGGGAUCUUCGGACCUUGCGCGAUUGAAUGAGCCGAUGUCGGAUUAGCUAGUUGGCGGGGUAAAGGCCCACCAAGGCGACGAUCCGUAGCUGGUCUGAGAGGAUGAUCAGCCACACUGGAACUGAGACACGGUCCAGACUCCUACGGGAGGCAGCAGUGGGGAAUAUUGGACAAUGGGCGCAAGCCUGAUCCAGCCAUACCGCGUGGGUGAAGAAGGCCUUCGGGUUGUAAAGCCCUUUUGUUGGGAAAGAAAUCCAGCCGGCUAAUACCUGGUUGGGAUGACGGUACCCAAAGAAUAAGCACCGGCUAACUUCGUGCCAGCAGCCGCGGUAAUACGAAGGGUGCAAGCGUUACUCGGAAUUACUGGGCGUAAAGCGUGCGUAGGUGGUUAUUUAAGUCCGUUGUGAAAGCCCUGGGCUCAACCUGGGAACUGCAGUGGAUACUGGAUGACUAGAAUGUGGUAGAGGGUAGCGGAAUUCCUGGUGUAGCAGUGAAAUGCGUAGAGAUCAGGAGGAACAUCCAUGGCGGAGGCAGCUACCUGGACCAACAUUGACACUGAGGCACGAAAGCGUGGGGAGCAAACAGGGUUAGAUACCCUGGUAGUCCACGCCCUAAACGAUGCGAACUG
RNAcentral lists this ribosomal RNA (718 nucleotides) under uncultured bacterium. RNAcentral's name for it is "bacterial SSU rRNA". It matches the Rfam family "Bacterial small subunit ribosomal RNA", at positions 104 to 818 of the family's 1533-position model. The record is from RNAcentral.